Paramuricea clavata is the source of this 471-nucleotide non-coding RNA. Lineage: Eukaryota; Metazoa; Cnidaria; Anthozoa; Malacalcyonacea; Plexauridae. The record is from the annotation of a GenBank genome assembly.
GUUUUGCUAUUCGAAAGUUUUUUCGCAAGUCCUGGGCCAAUAUUUACAAAAUAAUCAUUGAAUCUAUUUGCUAUUGAUUUUGGAUCGGUAAUUUUUUCUCCAGGACUAUUUCCAAUAAAUUCCUUUGGUAACGUACUACUUGUUUUAUUUCGAUUCAUAAUUUCAUUUAAUGUUUUCCACAGUACCUUUGUACCAUGUUUAUAUUUUAUUAAUUAACUGUUCUUCGUAAUGUUUCUUUUUUGCCGCUCUUAUUAUAUGAUUUAGUUUAUUUUUAUAUUGUUUGUAUAUUUUUUCCUUUUUUUCUGUAGGACAUUGAAGGUAUUUUUCAUAUAACUUGUUCUUUUGCUUAACUGAUCUUGCGAUACAUUUUGUCAUCCAUGGGCUUCGGGUUUUGUCAAUAUUUCUUUUUACUACUUUUCUUCGUAAAGGAAAGUUUUUUUCAUAGGCUAUUGAAAGUAAGUUAAGAAAUUC